Molecule: ribosomal RNA, 257 nt
Filed under: uncultured prokaryote
Description: partial 16S ribosomal RNA
Rfam family: Bacterial small subunit ribosomal RNA
Source: RNAcentral
UAAUACAGAGGUCCCGAGCGUUGUUCGGAUUCAUUGGGCGUAAAGGGUGCGUAGGCGGCGGGGCAAGUCUGAUGUGAAAUCCCGGGGCUCAACCCCGGAACUGCAUUGGAUACUGCCUUGCUCGAGUACUGGAGAGGGAACUGGAAUUUACGGUGUAGCAGUGAAAUGCGUAGAGAUCGUAAGGAAGGCCAGUGGCGAAGGCGAGUUCCUGGACAGUUACUGACGCUGAGGCACGAAGGCCAGGGGAGCAAACGGGA